Long non-coding RNA from Zingiber officinale, 419 nucleotides. RefSeq lists it as uncharacterized. The transcript has 2 exons. The record is from RefSeq and is a predicted model, not a curated record. Lineage: Eukaryota; Viridiplantae; Streptophyta; Magnoliopsida; Zingiberales; Zingiberaceae.
GAGCGCAAGAAUAGAUGGCAUCAGCGGCGGAUAUCAUCUUCAAAGGGUUGACGGGGGCGCUGGCAGCGACGACGCUCUACUUGACAGCUACCUUCUCCGUCAACCUCUAUCGGGGCAUCUCUUGGCACAAUGCUCAAUCCAAGUUGGAGAAAGAAAAAUAUGAAGAAUGAAGUAGACAGGAAGACUACCUGCGAUUCUAUUCAGAAUAUUUGUUAAUGGGAUAAUAGGCUAUAUAUCCUAUUCCUAUAUUAUUUUGUUCUAGUUGGUGGUCUUGAUGCUUAAACAUCAGUUUUUGACAAGGUAUCUUAAAGUUGUUCCAGAGACAGAUAUCAGAAAGAGAUUGCUUUCUGUAAGGACUGCGCGUGUAACCUUGUUUUCUCUGUUAUAAGAAUCCUCUUCCCCUUUUUCUUAUUAGUUCA